UUUUUGAGCCUAUUGAAAGUGUGUGCAUUUUUCAUACACUCCUAUUUUUUUAUGUGUGAUGAACUUAUGUGAGAUACAUCUCUAGAACUUGCGUAACGAUCUUUCGAAAUGUUUGUCAUUGAUUGCAUGAACUUGGAAAUGAUAGAGGCAUUAGGUUUACCACUAUGGCCCAAAUAACCAUGUUUCCCAAAAGAAAAAUGAUAUCAUUAGAUUGCCAAUUUGAGCCGUGUAUGUUGAGCCUUUUAUUUCUUAUCACCAGAUAUGUCUACC
Molecule: long non-coding RNA, 270 nt
Filed under: Malus domestica (apple)
Lineage: Eukaryota; Viridiplantae; Streptophyta; Magnoliopsida; Rosales; Rosaceae
Description: long non-coding RNA (MDOM_LNC004662)
Source: RNAcentral